AUAAAAUGGCUGAAGUGAGGCGGUGGUUUGUAAUUCCAUUAAUGGAGCUAGUGGCUUCUUUUAUCA
This 66-nucleotide transfer RNA is filed under the name Phrynocephalus arabicus (Arabian toadhead agama). RNAcentral describes it as "tRNA-Tyr". The record is from RNAcentral. Lineage: Eukaryota; Metazoa; Chordata; Lepidosauria; Squamata; Agamidae.